CUCAGGGGGCGGGGGUCCCUCAGCUCAGAUUGUGAGAGGGCGCAGGCCAUGCUGAGGGACCCCACCAGUGCACG
This 74-nucleotide microRNA precursor is filed under the name Myotis lucifugus (little brown bat). RNAcentral describes it as "mir-9193 microRNA precursor family". It matches the Rfam family "mir-9193 microRNA precursor family". The record is from Rfam by way of RNAcentral. Lineage: Eukaryota; Metazoa; Chordata; Mammalia; Chiroptera; Vespertilionidae.